Molecule: ribosomal RNA, 301 nt
Filed under: uncultured bacterium
Lineage: Bacteria
Description: partial 16S ribosomal RNA
Rfam family: Bacterial small subunit ribosomal RNA
Source: RNAcentral
CAGUAGCCGCGGUAAUACGAAGGGGGCUAGCGUUGUUCGGAAUCACUGGGCGUAAAGCGCACGUAGGCGGAUACUUAAGUCAGGGGUGAAAUCCCGGGGCUCAACCUCGGAACUGCCCUUGAUACUGGGUAUCUUGAGUCCGGGAGAGGUUGGUCGAACUCCGAGUGUAGAGGUGAAAUUCGUAGAUAUUCGGAAGAACACCAGUGGCGAAGGCGGCCAACUGGCCCGGUACUGACGCUGAGGUGCGAAAGCGUGGGGAGCAAACAGGAUUAGAGACCCGCGUAGUCCCUGUCUCUUAUAC